GUGCAACAUUUUCUCCUAGCAACAAGAGUACAUUCUGACAUAAAAAUAACGUAUGCCAGUACCCGACUUCCAGAAUGCAAAUUUCGGGUUAUUUACAAUUUAUUUAAAAAAAACAAAAAACAUCGUAGCACCAAAGGGGUAAUAAAUUAUCCUGUUGGAAAGGUAUAUUCACUGAACACUUAAUUUAGCUGGGGCAAAUUGAAAAGGAAAAACUUGCAGGCCAAACAAAC
Non-coding RNA from Pelobates cultripes (western spadefoot toad), 230 nucleotides. NCBI's taxonomy places the organism in Eukaryota, Metazoa, Chordata, Amphibia, Anura, Pelobatidae. The record is from the annotation of a GenBank genome assembly.